Molecule: ribosomal RNA, 432 nt
Filed under: uncultured bacterium
Lineage: Bacteria
Description: partial 16S ribosomal RNA
Rfam family: Bacterial small subunit ribosomal RNA
Source: RNAcentral
AACGAACGCUGGCGGCAUGCCUAACACAUGCAAGUCGAACGAAGUCUUCGGACUUAGUGGCGCACGGGUGCGUAACGCGUGGGAAUCUGCCCUUGGGUACGGAAUAACUCAGAGAAAUUUGUGCUAAUACCGUAUAAUGUCUUCGGACCAAAGAUUUAUCGCCCAAGGAUGAGCCCGCGUAAGAUUAGCUAGUUGGUGGGGUAAAAGCCUACCAAGGCGACGAUCUUUAGCUGGUCUGAGAGGAUGAUCAGCCACACUGGGACUGAGACACGGCCCAGACUCCUACGGGAGGCAGCAGUGGGGAAUAUUGGACAAUGGGCGAAAGCCUGAUCCAGCAAUGCCGCGUGAGUGAUGAAGGCCCUAGGGUUGUAAAGCUCUUUUACCAGGGAUGAUAAUGACAGUACCGGGAGAAUAAGCUCCGGCUAACUCCGU